This 385-nucleotide ribosomal RNA is filed under the name uncultured bacterium. RNAcentral's name for it is "bacterial SSU rRNA". It matches the Rfam family "Bacterial small subunit ribosomal RNA", at positions 28 to 414 of the family's 1533-position model. The record is from RNAcentral.
AAUCAACGCUGGCGGCGUGCCUCAGACAUGCAAGUCGAACGCGAAAGUUCCCUUCGGGGGUACACGAGCGGCGAACGGGUGAGUAACACGUGGGUGACCUGCCCUCAGCUCUGGGAUAAGCCUGGGAAACCGGGUCUAAUACCGGAUAUGACUCCAUGACGCAUGUUGUGGGGUGGAAAGCCUUGUGCGGCUGAGGAUGGGCCCGCGGCCUAUCAGCUUGUUGGGGGGUGAUGCCUACCAAGGCGACGACGGGUAGCCGGCCUGAGAGGGCGACCGGCCACACUGGGACUGAGACACGGCCCAGACUCCUACGGGAGGCAGCAGGUGGGGAAUCUUGCGCAAUGGGCGAAAGCCUGACGCAGCGACGCCGCGUGAGGGAUGACGG